Molecule: long non-coding RNA, 1225 nt
Filed under: Canis lupus familiaris (dog)
Lineage: Eukaryota; Metazoa; Chordata; Mammalia; Carnivora; Canidae
Description: lncRNA (ENSCAFG00030013736.1)
Source: RNAcentral
UUUAGAAAAAAAGUCUCCGGCAGAGCUUAGAUGAGUUCAAGAGAUCAUAGCAUACAAAGGUUUUGGCUUUCUCAUGCACAUACACGGUAGAGGAGCCCCAGUUCUUCUUUACUGGAAAUUAAUGCAUAAAGCUGUUUUUGUAGGAAAACAUGUAAGAGAUCUAGCAAUUGAUAAUUCUUGUUUAUAAUUGCUUUCAUAAUGAUGAGAAAAAGAUCAUACCAGGUAUUUCACAAGACCUACCCACUGAGGGCAGUUUAAAGAAUGUGCAUCUCAUAACCCAAGCCUUUGUGUUUUCUAUCUUGAGUUUGGCUCAGUCUACUCCUGAGACCCUCUCUCCACAUUCCUUCUGUCCAAAACAGGGUUCCAGGAGCAUCGAAAGUAUCCAUGUGGCUACUGACAGCAUUACUGACUGUCCCCCACCAGGAAAGUAAAAUAUCUACAGUCAGGCAGCAUGGACCUCAGUUAGCCAAGAGAGCUGCCACCCAGCCAGCCACCAGUUUCAUGCAGUGACUAAUUACAGCCAGUGGACAUGUGAUUAUCUUUUAAAGUCAUUUUCCUUGGAACGCGUUUUAUGAACCUAACAUUGCAGAAGAAUGUCUGCUUACUCCAGGGCACUUCAGUAUUCCUGAGGAAUAAAUAUGAUUUCGCUUUUCCUCCCACUGGGACAUUCUCAGGUAUGUCACUGCUCCUGCUCUUUGACAUAUUUUCUAUGUAGAAGAUAACAGAGCCUGGAAGUGAGGGGUGCCUGGGUGGCUCAGCAGUUCAGCAUCUGCCUUCCACUCAGGGCAUGAUCCCUGGAUCCUGGAAUCAAGUCUCACAUUCGGUUUCCACAGGAAGCCUGCUUCUCCCUCUGCCUAUGUCUCUGCCUCUCUCUGUGUGUCUCUCAUGAAUAAAUAAAUAAAAUCUUUAAAAAAAGAAAAGAAGCUAAGUGAAAAGCAAAUCCUGAUCCAAAAACCAGACUGCAUCUGCCAUGUACCCAUCCCACUUCCUGCUGAGCUCUGAAUCUGACAUGUGUUGUUGUUUGUAUAUGCAUGUGCAUAGAUAUACACAGAUUUAUGGUCAUGGUAUAUAAACAGGUUUUCAUUCUAGUUUUUAUUUGCCUUGUGAAUGUUUUUGAAGGUCAUACAUUUCUUUAAGAAUUUGAUUUAUAAUUGCUGAAAUAUUAUUAAUCUUUCAACAUUUAAUGAUUCUUUUCUAUUGUUAGAUAAUUAAACUUUUAAAAUAG